RNAcentral lists this ribosomal RNA (253 nucleotides) under uncultured bacterium. RNAcentral describes it as "partial 16S ribosomal RNA". It matches the Rfam family "Bacterial small subunit ribosomal RNA", at positions 524 to 776 of the family's 1533-position model. The record is from RNAcentral.
UACAGAGGGUGCGAGCGUUGUUCGGAAUUAUUGGGCGUAAAGGGCGCGUAGGCGGUGCGGUAAGUCACCUGUGAAAUCUCCUGGCUCAACUGGGAGCUUGCAGGCGAAACUGCCGUGCUGGAGUGUGGGAGAGGUGCGUGGAAUUCCUGGUGUAGCGGCGAAAUGCGUAGAUAUCAGGAGGAACACCUGUGGCGAAAGCGGCGCACUGGACCACAACUGACGCUGAGGCGCGAAAGCUAGGGGAGCAAACAGG